AGCUUUGCGCAGUGGCAGUCUCGUAGCCAAUGAGGUUUAUCCAAGGCGCGAUUAUUGCUAAUUGAAAUAACACUUAAGCCAUAUCUUGGAGUAUAUUUCAGUGCUGAUUUUCUGUUGAAUAACUACAAAAUUAAUUUAUUAAAAGUUAUUUUUAAG
RNAcentral lists this small nuclear RNA (156 nucleotides) under Zalophus californianus (California sea lion). RNAcentral describes it as "U4 spliceosomal RNA (ENSZCAG00015020858.1)". It matches the Rfam family "U4 spliceosomal RNA". From Rfam's summary of the family: U4 small nuclear RNA (U4 snRNA) is a component of the major U2-dependent spliceosome. The structure of U4 snRNA from yeast and human has been reported. The record is from RNAcentral. Lineage: Eukaryota; Metazoa; Chordata; Mammalia; Carnivora; Otariidae.